This is a non-coding RNA of Hyaena hyaena (striped hyena), 829 nucleotides long. The record is from the annotation of a RefSeq genome assembly. NCBI's taxonomy places the organism in Eukaryota, Metazoa, Chordata, Mammalia, Carnivora, Hyaenidae.
GCGACAAGAAUCGUUUGUCAGAAAGCUCCAGGCUCAUCUCCGGAGCUUUUACAUUUUUAUCUCAGCAAGGAGCCUGUCCAACUUUACUUUCUCCAUCCCUCUUAUAUCCGAGGGCUUGGUUUCCUCAGCCAAUUUCCUGUCUGCUCAGGGGAGAUUUUCCUGAAAAGAGCCCACAGCCUUUCUACUGGUCAGCCAUGUUCCUGUUGCUCAUCUCAACACUGGGGAUAUUUGCCCUGCGAGACACCAGAGCUCAGUCAGUGACCCAGCCUGAUGUCCAUGUCACUGUCUCUGAAGGAGCCCGUCUGGAGCUGAGGUGCAACUAUUCCUCUAGUGUAAGUCCUUAUCUCUUCUGGUACAUGCAGCACCCCAGCCAAGGACUCCAGCUUCUCCUCAAGCACUUUUCAGGGUCAUUAGACACCCUGGUUCAAGGCAUCAAAGAUUUCGAGGCUGAAUUUAGGAAGAAUGAAAAGUCCUUCCACCUGAAGAAACUAGCAGUCCAAUGGAACGAUGCAGCCAAGUACUUCUGUGCUGUGAGUGACACAGUGCCUGGGACUGCAGGGGGAGCUGAGCACAAACCACCCAUGGUGACUCACUGUCGUCUGCUCAACCACAUUGCCUGCAGGGACUAUGGUGGGCACUUUAUGCACAUUAGUGUGAGAAGGAGAACUACCAAUUUCUUUGAUUCUGAACUCAAGCUGAGUGUGAAAAAAUGGGUUUUACACCAAGGACCCCAAGCAGUUGGGAGAUCAUACCCCCACCUCCCAAACCUUAACUUUGCCUGAGAAAUCCAAGUAGCCUGACUUCCUCCCUCCUUCCCUUUCUUCCUUAA